Molecule: ribosomal RNA, 501 nt
Filed under: uncultured bacterium
Lineage: Bacteria
Description: partial 16S ribosomal RNA
Rfam family: Bacterial small subunit ribosomal RNA
Source: RNAcentral
AUUGAACGCUGGCGGCAGGCUUAACACAUGCAAGUCGAGCGGGGAAGGUUGCUUCGGUAACUGACCUAGCGGCGGACGGGUGAGUAAUGCUUAGGAAUCUGCCUAUUAGUGGGGGACAACAUUCCGAAAGGGAUGCUAAUACCGCAUACGCCCUACGGGGGAAAGCAGGGGCUCUUCGGACCUUGCGCUAAUAGAUGAGCGUAAGUCGGAUGAGCUAGUUGGUGGGGUAAAGGCCUACCAAGGCGACGAUGUGUAGCGGGUCUGAGAGGAUGAUCCGCCACACUGGGACUGAGACACGGCCCAGACUCCUACGGGAGGCAGCAGUGGGGAAGAUUGGACAAUGGGCGGAAGCCUGAUCCAGCCAUGCCGCGUGUGUGAAGAAGGCCUUUUGGUUGUAAAGCACUUUAAGCGAGGAGGAGGCUCUUAAGGUUAAUACCCUUGAUGAGUGGACGUUACUCGCGGAAUAAGCACCGGCUAACUCUGUGCCAGCCGCCGCCGUAA